RNAcentral lists this ribosomal RNA (696 nucleotides) under uncultured bacterium. RNAcentral describes it as "bacterial SSU rRNA". It matches the Rfam family "Bacterial small subunit ribosomal RNA", at positions 8 to 727 of the family's 1533-position model. The record is from RNAcentral.
AGAGUUUGAUCCUGGCUCAGAGCGAACGCUAGCGGCAAGCUUAACACAUGCAAGUCGAGCGCGAACGAACCUUCGGGUUCAAGUAGAGCGGCGAACGGGUGAGUAACACGUAGAUUAUCUACCUUUUGGUGGGGAACAACCCUGGGAAACUAGGGCUAAUACCGCAUGUGGCCUACGGGUCAAAGCCUUCGGGCGCCAGAAGAUGAGUCUGCGGCCCAUUAUUUAAUCCUUGUUGGUGGGGUAAUGGCCUACCAAGGGUACGAUGGGUAGCUGUUUUGAGAGGAAGAUCAGCCACACUGGGACUGAGACACGGCCCAGACUCCUACGGGAGGCAGCAGUGGGGAAUAUUGCGCAAUGGGCGAAAGCCUGACGCAGCUAUGCCGCGUGUGUGAUGAAGGCCUUAGGGUUGUAAAGCACCGUCGGGGGGGAAGAAGAUCUGACGGUACCCCCCAAGAAAGCACCGGCCAACUCCGUGCCAGCAGCCGCGGUAAUACGGAGGGUGCAAGCGUUGCUCGGAAUCACUGGGCGUAAAGCGAACGCAGGCGGACCGUUAAGUUGGGUGUGAAAGCCCAGGGGCUCAACCCUGGAACUGCAUUCAAAACUGGCGGUCUUGAGUACGGGAGAGGGAAGUGGAAUUCCUGGUGUAGAGGUGAAAUUCGUAGAUCUCAGGAGGAACACCCGUGGCGAAAGCGGCUU